AGGACGAACGCUGGCGGCGUGCUUAACACAUGCAAGUCGAGCGGAAAGGCCCUUCGGGUACGUCGAGCGGCGAACGGGUGAGUAACACGUGAGCAACCUGCCCUUAGCUCCGGGAUAGCUCCGGGAAACCGGAAUUAAUACCGGAUACGACCACGGCCGACAUCUGCUGUGGUGGAAAGGAUUCCGGCUAAGGAUGGGCUCGCGGCCUAUCAGCUAGUUGGUGGAGUAACGGCCCACCAAGGCGACGACGGGUA
Molecule: ribosomal RNA, 254 nt
Filed under: uncultured bacterium
Lineage: Bacteria
Description: partial small subunit ribosomal RNA
Rfam family: Bacterial small subunit ribosomal RNA
Source: RNAcentral